RNAcentral lists this ribosomal RNA (465 nucleotides) under uncultured bacterium. RNAcentral's name for it is "partial 16S ribosomal RNA". It matches the Rfam family "Bacterial small subunit ribosomal RNA", at positions 339 to 795 of the family's 1533-position model. The record is from RNAcentral.
CUACGGGGGGCACCAGUGGGGAAUAUUGGACAAUGGGGGAAGCCCUGAUCCAGCAAUGCCGCGUGUGUGAAGAAGGCCUGCGGGUUGUAAAGCACUUUCGGUUGGGAGGACUGCUUCUAGCACUAAUAUUGUUGGAAGUUGACGUUACCUUCAGAAGAAGCACCGGCUAACUCAGUGCCAGCAGCCGCGGUAAUACUGAGGGUGCAAGCGUUAAUCGGAAUUACUGGGCGUAAAGCGCGCGUAGGCGGCUAGAUCAGUCGGGUGUGAAAGCCCCGGGCUUAACCUGGGAACUGCAUCCGAUACUGUCUAGCUUGAGUACAGGAGAGGAGAGUGGAAUUCCACAUGUAGCGGUGAAAUGCGUAGAUAUGUGGAGGAACACCAAUGGCGAAGGCAGCUCUCUGGCCUGAUACUGACGCUGAGGUGCGAAAGCGUGGGGAGCAAACAGGAUUAGAUACCCGCGUAGUC